This 279-nucleotide ribosomal RNA is filed under the name uncultured bacterium. RNAcentral's name for it is "partial 16S ribosomal RNA". It matches the Rfam family "Bacterial small subunit ribosomal RNA", at positions 506 to 784 of the family's 1533-position model. The record is from RNAcentral.
UGCCAGCCGCCGCGGUAAUACGGAGGGGGUUAGCGUUGUUCGGAAUUACUGGGCGUAAAGCGCACGUAGGCGGACUGUUAAGUUAGAGGUGAAAUCCCGGGGCUCAACCCUGGAACUGCCUUCGAUACUGGUAGUCUUGAGGUCGAGAGAGGUGAGUGGAAUUCCGAGUGUAGAGGUGAAAUUCGUAGAUAUUGGGAAGAACACCAGUGGCGAAGGCGGCUACCUGGUCCGGAUCUGACGCUGAGGCGCGAAAGCGUGGGGAGCAAACAGGAUUAGAUA